This 628-nucleotide long non-coding RNA is filed under the name Anser brachyrhynchus (Pink-footed goose). Its description in RNAcentral is "lncRNA (ENSABRG00000005160.1)". Lineage: Eukaryota; Metazoa; Chordata; Aves; Anseriformes; Anatidae. The record is from RNAcentral.
UUCCCUUUUAAAACAGUCAAGAGAUGUUGUCACAUUUUCUAUUAAUAUUCUCAUUCUCUAUUGUUACAUAUUCUAUUAAUAUUCUCUCAUUUUCUAUUAAUUUGUUUAGUAAUUCCCUACUCAGCAUACGCCUGUUAAGGAACCUCUUUAUAGGGUGUGAAACAUUCCAUUUUUUCCUCCUCUAGUCCAGGAAAACUAAGCACAACCUGAAGCCAUGAAUUUCGUUCUGGAGCAGAAUGCAUCCACAAGCAGAUGUCAAUACUGUUCUGCCUAAAUCCUGUUGUGGAAUUUGGUCUGAAAGCAUUUCUGAUCAUCAGUGGAAGAAUUGUGAGAUUCUGCCUCGGGAGAGGAAGUGGCCAGAAGGCUGUGCGGUGCCAGAGCAUUGCCAGGCAGCUCGAGAGGGAGGCAGAGGUAGAGCCCAAGUGGGAGACAGAGAGAGAAAAUGAUAAUGCCAAGACUCUCCAUAAGAAAUCGAAACUUGGAAAUGGACUGAUUUCUUAGGAACCAGAGGAUGGGAAGGCCCGUAACUGCGCCCAACGGGACACCCCCCCACAAGCAUUUCUGUGUGCCUGCCCUAUCCCUCCAGCUCUUAAUCCUCCUGCCCACCUGAGCCAAGCAAACCACUGGG